This 777-nucleotide ribosomal RNA is filed under the name uncultured Neocallimastigales. Its description in RNAcentral is "partial large subunit ribosomal RNA". It matches the Rfam family "Eukaryotic large subunit ribosomal RNA", at positions 26 to 640 of the family's 3401-position model. Lineage: Eukaryota; Fungi; Neocallimastigomycota; Neocallimastigomycetes; Neocallimastigales. The record is from RNAcentral.
CGUCUAUAUACGUAUAGCAUAUCAAUAAGCGGAGGAAAAGAAACUAACAAGGAUUCCCCUAGUAACGGCGAGUGAAGCGGGAAGAGCUCAAAUUUGAAAUCUUCAAGGGUUUCCCUUGACGAAUUGUAGUUUAAAGAAGUGUUUUCUGUUAGAGAGGUGGUAAAAGUUCUUUGGAAUAGGACAUCAUAGAGGGUGAGAAUCCCGUAUUUGAUCACUUUCUACUAACGUUGUGAUACACUUUCAAAGAGUCGGAUUGUUUGGGAAUGCAGUCCAAAAUGGGUGGUAAAUUUCAUCUAAAGCUAAAUAUUGGCGAGAGACCGAUAGCGAACAAGUACCGUGAGGGAAAGAUGAAAAGGACUUUGAAGAGAGAGUUAAACAGUACGUGAAAUUGUCAAAAGGGAAGCGUUUGACACCAGUGUUGUUUUUCCGAAAAUCAAUUAUGAAUGGCUUGAUUUUAAGUUUCAUGACCUUAAAAGCUUGUUUCUUAUUUUUCAUGUCUCUCGUAAUGCACUUUUCGGUUAACAAGUCAACAUCAAUUUCUUUUGUUGUAAAAGGUUAAGAGGAAGGUGGCUUCACUUCGGGUGAAAGUGUUUAUAGCCUUUUAACCUCUGCAAUCGGAGAGAUUGAGGUCUGCAGCGUAGACUCUUCGGGGUUAGAUACAUUUGUGCUAAGUUAUAGCUUUUCAUAGACAACUUGUUGACUAUGAUUUAAUCAUUGUAGCUUACUCGCUUAUGCUAUUUUACCUACGCUUAGGAUGUUGAUAUGCAUGACUGAUAU